This 465-nucleotide ribosomal RNA is filed under the name uncultured bacterium. RNAcentral describes it as "partial 16S ribosomal RNA". It matches the Rfam family "Bacterial small subunit ribosomal RNA", at positions 28 to 507 of the family's 1533-position model. The record is from RNAcentral.
GACGAACGCUGGCGGUGUGCUUAACACAUGCAAGUCGAACGGAAAGGCCCCUUUGGGGGUCCUCGAGUGGCGACCGGUUGAGUACCACGUGAGUAACCUGCCCUUUCUUCUGGGUCAACUUCAGGAAACUGGGGCUACUACCGGUUAGGCAUCCUUGCUCCUUGGUGGGGGUUGGGAAGCUUCGGCGGGGUUGGGUGGACUCGCGGCCUAUCAGCUUGUUGGCGGGGUAGUGGCUUACCAAGGCUUCGAGGGGUAGCCGGCCAGCGAGUGCGACCGGCCACAUUGGGACUGAGAGACGGCCCAGACGCCUACGGGAGGCAGCAGGGGGGAAGAUUGCACCAUGGGCGGAAGCCGGAUGCAGCAGCGCCGCGGGCGGGAUGACGGCCUUCGGGGUGUAAACCGCUUUCAGCAGGGGCGAAGCUUGUGGUGACGGUACCUGCAGAAGAAGCACCGGCUAACUACGUG